RNAcentral lists this ribosomal RNA (253 nucleotides) under uncultured bacterium. Its description in RNAcentral is "partial 16S ribosomal RNA". It matches the Rfam family "Bacterial small subunit ribosomal RNA", at positions 524 to 776 of the family's 1533-position model. The record is from RNAcentral.
UACGGAGGGAGCUAGCGUUGUUCGGAAUUACUGGGCGUAAAGCGCACGUAGGCGGCUUUGUAAGUUAGAGGUGAAAGCCCGGGGCUCAACCCCGGAAUUGCCUUUAAGACUGCAUCGCUUGAAUCCGGGAGAGGUGAGUGGAAUUCCGAGUGUAGAGGUGAAAUUCGUAGAUAUUCGGAAGAACACCAGUGGCGAAGGCGGCUCACUGGAUCGGUAUUGACGCUGAGGUGCGAAAGCGUGGGGAGCAAACAGG